RNAcentral lists this ribosomal RNA (478 nucleotides) under uncultured bacterium. RNAcentral describes it as "bacterial SSU rRNA". It matches the Rfam family "Bacterial small subunit ribosomal RNA", at positions 32 to 507 of the family's 1533-position model. The record is from RNAcentral.
AAUCAACGCUGGCGGCGUGCCUAACACAUGCAAGUCGAGCGAGAAAAGGGGAGCAAUCCCCUGAGUACAGCGGCGCACGGGUGAGUAACACGUGGGGUAAUCUGCCCUGGAGUGGGGGAAUAACACCGGGAAACCGGUGCUAAUACCGCAUACGAUCACAGAGUCUGCGGAUUUUUGUGAUGAAAGGAGCAAUUCGCUCUAGGAGGAGCCCGCGGCUGAUUAGCUAGUUGGUGAGGUAAUGGCUCACCAAGGCAACGAUCAGUAUCCGGUCUGAGAGGACGGUCGGACACACUGGAACUGAGACACGGUCCAGACUCCUACGGGAGGCAGCAGUGGGGUAAUUUUUGGCAAGUGGGGGCAACCCUGACCAAGCAACGCCGCGUGGGUGAUGAAGUCUCUUGGGACGUAAAACCCUUUCGACGGGGACGAAACCGCAAGGUUGACGGUACCCGUAGAAGAAGCCCCGGCUAACUCCGUG